UUGUUGCACUGAAUGCACAAUUGUGUUUCCUUGUUGUUUAGGUUUCAAAACUUUUCCAAAAGAUUCAAGAAAUGGUAAAGAAGAAAGCAAUCUAGUAUUUGUUUUGAUUGGUGAGGCAGAACAAAAUUUAACUUAAUGCUAUAUGCUUGUCAUGUGCUUUGGGUUAAGUGUGUGGUCAUGCAGAUGAAGUUGAAAGCCUUGCUGCGGCGAGGAAAGCUUUUAUAUCCGGUUCAGAACCUUCAGAUUCUAUUCGGGUUGUAAAUGCAUUACUAACUCAGAUUGACAAGUUAAUAUCAUCUCCAAAUGUGAUAAUCCUAAUCACAUCCAACAUAACUACUGCUAUUGGAAAAUUAUUAUGAAGUAGAAAAAGAACUUAAUCACACAAAUUAUGAAGAUCAAAUAUUAGAGAGUAAAAAUCACCAAUUUGUGAAGAUGAUGAGGAAUCUAUUUGCUAUUGUAAUAUAUCAAUCUUUUUUCUUUAUGAUUAGAUAUGGUUAUGACUUAGACUCUUAUUAUGUAAUUUUAAAGUAUCUUAGUUUAUUUGACUUCUAAAAGAUUCAC
Arachis ipaensis is the source of this 561-nucleotide non-coding RNA. Lineage: Eukaryota; Viridiplantae; Streptophyta; Magnoliopsida; Fabales; Fabaceae. The record is from RefSeq and is a predicted model, not a curated record.